GAGUUAAACUACCGAGUUCCGCACCUUAAACACUGAGUCUCGCUUUCUCACAAGCCCUCUGGCUUUGGCUACAUUUUGACCUUUCACUUUCAGCAGUUGGGGCUCUAUACAACCAGUGAUGCAGAACCUGGGGAUCCAGAAGAAUGACAGCAUCCUGGAAAUUGCCCUGCAGAAAAAUAGGAAAAUGUGAACCCUUACCUGGGGAUGAAGACAAAUGGUCCCUCUCCAGUUCUUUUAAAUGAUGCACAUCCCUCAUUUUAAUAAUAUGUUUAUAUCUCAGUGACUUUUAAUAAAUGGUGGCAUUGAAA
Molecule: long non-coding RNA, 308 nt
Organism: Motacilla alba alba
Lineage: Eukaryota; Metazoa; Chordata; Aves; Passeriformes; Motacillidae
Exons: 3
Source: RefSeq, a predicted model, not a curated record